UGCCAGGUAGCUAUGUUCGGAAUGGAUAACCGCUGAAAGCAUCUAAGCGGGAAGCCAACCUCAAAACAAGAUAUCCCUACCCUUUCGAGGGUCUGAAGACACCUUGAAGACCACGAGGUUAAUAGGCCGGAAGUGUAAGUGCAGUAAUGUAUUUAGCUAACCGGUACUAAUCAGUCGUGAGGCUUGACCAU
RNAcentral lists this ribosomal RNA (191 nucleotides) under Nitrospinota bacterium. RNAcentral's name for it is "partial 23S ribosomal RNA". It matches the Rfam family "Bacterial large subunit ribosomal RNA", at positions 2739 to 2925 of the family's 2925-position model. Lineage: Bacteria; Pseudomonadati; Nitrospinota. The record is from RNAcentral.